GACAGAGGUCCCGAGCGUUAGGCGGAAUCACUGGGCUUAAAGCGUGUGUAGGCGGAUCGUUAAGUGCCUUGUGAAAUCCCACGGCUUAACCGUGGAACUGCUUGGCAUACUGGCGGUCUUGAGCCACUUAGGGGCAACCGGAACAAACGGUGGAGCGGUGAAAUGCGUAGAUAUCGUUUGGAACGCCAACGGUGAAAACAGACGACUGGGAGUGUGCUGACGCUGAGACACGAAAGCCAGGGGAGCGAACGGG
This 253-nucleotide ribosomal RNA is filed under the name uncultured bacterium. RNAcentral describes it as "partial 16S ribosomal RNA". It matches the Rfam family "Bacterial small subunit ribosomal RNA", at positions 524 to 776 of the family's 1533-position model. The record is from RNAcentral.